AGUGAACGCUGGCGGUAGGCCUAACACAUGCAAGUCGAACGGCAGCACAGUAAGAGCUUGCUCUUACGGGUGGCGAGUGGCGGACGGGUGAGGAAUACAUCGGAAUCUACUUUUUCGUGGGGGAUAACGUAGGGAAACUUACGCUAAUACCGCAUACGACCUACGGGUGGAAGCAGGGGAUCUUCGGACCUUGCGCGAUUGAAUGAGCCGAUGUCGGAUUAGUUAGUUGGCGGGGUAAAGGCCCACCAAGGCGACGAUCCGUAGCUGGUCUGAGAGGAUGAUCAGCCACACUGGAACUGAGACACGGUCCAGACUCCUACGGGAGGCAGCAGUGGGGAAUAUUGGACAAUGGGCGCAAGCCUGAUCCAGCCAUACCGCGUGGGUGAAGAAGGCCUUCGGGUUGUAAAGCCCUUUUGUUGGGAAAGAAAAGCAGCAGGUUAAUACCCCGCUGUUCUGACGGUACCCAAAGAAUAAGCACCGGCUAACUUCGUG
Molecule: ribosomal RNA, 492 nt
Filed under: uncultured bacterium
Lineage: Bacteria
Description: partial 16S ribosomal RNA
Rfam family: Bacterial small subunit ribosomal RNA
Source: RNAcentral